Molecule: ribosomal RNA, 491 nt
Filed under: uncultured bacterium
Lineage: Bacteria
Description: bacterial SSU rRNA
Rfam family: Bacterial small subunit ribosomal RNA
Source: RNAcentral
GAUCUUGGUUCAGGAUGAACGCUGGCGGCGUGCUUAACACAUGCAAGUCGAACGGAGUUAUUGGAAGCUUGCUUUGAAUAACUUAGUGGCGGACGGGUGAGUAACGCGUGGGUAACCUGCCUUAUACCGGGGGACAACAGUUGGAAACGACUGCUAAUACCGCAUAAGCGCACAAGAAGGCAUCUUCUAGUGUGAAAAACUCCGGUGGUAUAAGAUGGACCCGCGUCUGAUUAGCCAGUUGGCGGUGUAACGGACCACCAAAGCGACGAUCAGUAGCCGGCCUGAGAGGGCAAACGGCCACAUUGGGACUGAGACACGGCCCAAACUCCUACGGGAGGCAGCAGUGGGGAAUAUUGCACAAUGGAGGAAACUCUGAUGCAGCCGACGCCGCGUGAGUGAAGAAGUAUCUCGGUAUGUAAAGCUCUAUCAGCAGGAAAGAAAAUGACGGUACCUGACUAAGAAGCCCCGGCUAACUACGUGCCAGCCGCUGC